Molecule: small RNA, 28 nt
Filed under: Bombyx mori (domestic silkworm)
Lineage: Eukaryota; Metazoa; Arthropoda; Insecta; Lepidoptera; Bombycidae
Description: ovarian small RNA-30925
Source: RNAcentral
UGAAGCAAAUUUAUCGAUUAAAUGGCGC